GAGCGGUAAGGCCCUUCGGGGUACACGAGCGGCGAACGGGUGAGUAACACGUGAGCAACCUGCCCCUGACUCCGGGAUAAGCCGGGGAAACCCGGUCUAAUACCGGAUAGGACGUCUCGUCGCAUGGCGGGGCGUGGAAAGGUGUCUUUCCGGUCAGGGAGGGGCUCGCGGCCUAUCAGCUUGUUGGUGGGGUGAAGGCCUACCAAGGCGAUUACGGGUAGCCGGCCUGAGAGGGCGACCGGCCACACUGGGACUGAGACACGGCCCAGACUCCUACGGGAGGCAGCAGUGGGGAAUAUUGCGCAAUGGGCGGAAGCCUGACGCAGCGACGCCGCGUGGGGGAUGACGGCCUUCGGGUUGUAAACCUCUUUUACCACCGACGCAGGCCCGUGCUUCUGUGCGGGUUGACGGUAGGUGGGGAAUAAGGACCGGCCAACUACGUGCCAGCAGCCGCGGUAAUACGUAGGGUCCGAGCGUUGUCCGGAAUUAUUGGGCGUAAAGAGCUCGUAGGUGGCGUGUCGCGUCUGCUGUGUAAGUCCGGGGCUUAACUCCGGUUUGGCAGUGGAUACGGGCAUGCUAGAGGUAGGCAGGGGAGACUGGAAUUCCUGGUGUAGCGGUGAAAUGCGCAGAUAUCAGGAGGAACACCGGUGGCGAAGGCGGGUCUCUGGGCCUUACCUGACGCUGAGGAGCG
This 691-nucleotide ribosomal RNA is filed under the name Streptomonospora sp. YIM 92426. RNAcentral's name for it is "bacterial SSU rRNA". It matches the Rfam family "Bacterial small subunit ribosomal RNA", at positions 64 to 755 of the family's 1533-position model. Lineage: Bacteria; Bacillati; Actinomycetota; Actinomycetes; Streptosporangiales; Nocardiopsidaceae. The record is from RNAcentral.